GGGGGCCUGGCGGGAGGGGCGGGGCCACGGGUCCCGGCUUAAGCCUCAGGCGCGUUCUUGGCUUAAGGCGGUGCCCGGCCUGGAGGAGACCGGCGCUGCCCGAGGGCUGUGGGGACCCCGAGGCUGGACUUCAGGGAAGAGGAACCUCGAGCCUCCAACCCCGAAAGUCUAGUCAAUGCCUGGAUGUAUAGAAGACCUCCAAGUAACUCUGAUUACCCUCUGGACUAAGGAACGAACGUUCACAUAUGCAGACCACCUGAUGCCCAGGAUCCAGACCAAUCCGGAGGCUAAGAAUGCAGGACUGGUUCGUCUCAAGCUAGCCACUGUGGCCCAGGGAGACCUCUGAAGGUCGAGGGCUUAGAGUCGCAGCAGCAGCACAUCACAGGUGACUGACUGCAAUGCUUUCUGAACGAUGAGGUUCCCUAUCUUCUCUCACCUCUGUGGCCAAAACCAAAGAGCUCCUUGGUGCUGUUUAAAGAAAUCCAUAUCCUGCUGCUGCAGGAGGACAUAUUGAAAAUUGGGCCACGUGAAAAAAGAUUGGGAGAAUCCAAGAUGGCUGCAGCCUAAACACCUAGCCGCAGCCGCACACAAUAAUUUCAAUAAAAUACAACUAAAAUAUAAAAUGUCCAUUUUAAAAUUA
Pipistrellus kuhlii (Kuhl's pipistrelle) is the source of this 640-nucleotide long non-coding RNA. RefSeq lists it as uncharacterized. The transcript is spliced from 3 exons. NCBI's taxonomy places the organism in Eukaryota, Metazoa, Chordata, Mammalia, Chiroptera, Vespertilionidae. The record is from RefSeq and is a predicted model, not a curated record.